AACAUGGGUCUAUGCGCCUGGACAAUUUCAAAAUUCCCUGUUUUGUAGUAUUCUCCCCAUUAGGCAGGUAAUUGGUUUUCAAAACUUCAGAAUACCCUUCAGAAACAUUAAGUUCCUUUGAUGAUGAAUUGUGAGCUUCUUGCUUAUUUUCUAGCAACACUGACGAGCCUUGGGAUGAGUUGCUGGCUUUGACAGAGUACAAGGAGUGUAAUCUUCUUAAAAGUCCCUGCCGUCCUUCCUCAGGCAUUGCUUCUUUCUCAACCCAAGCAAUUGCACAGUCAAGAUCUUUCAAAGUUUUACCAAGAAGUGUGACAGCAUAGAUUUCAACAACCUCCAUAUACUCAUCAACUCCUAAAACAUUCCUUUCAUCACAUCCUUUC
RNAcentral lists this unclassified non-coding RNA (380 nucleotides) under Hevea brasiliensis (rubber tree). Lineage: Eukaryota; Viridiplantae; Streptophyta; Magnoliopsida; Malpighiales; Euphorbiaceae. The record is from RNAcentral.